Molecule: ribosomal RNA, 1476 nt
Filed under: uncultured Bordetella sp.
Lineage: Bacteria; Pseudomonadati; Pseudomonadota; Betaproteobacteria; Burkholderiales; Alcaligenaceae
Description: partial 16S-23S ribosomal RNA intergenic spacer
Rfam family: Bacterial small subunit ribosomal RNA
Source: RNAcentral
GGUUCGAUUAUGGCUCAGAUUGAACGCUGGCGGGAUGCUUUACACAUACAAGUCGAACGGCAGCACGGACUUCGGUCUGGUGGCGAGUGGCGAACGGGUGAGUAAUGUAUCGGAACGUCCUGAAGUAGCGAGGAUAACUACGCGCGGCGUAGCUAAUACCGCAUACGCCCUUCAGGGAAAGCGGGGACCUUCGGGCCUCGCACUGUCGAGCUGUGAUAUCCGGAUUAGCUAGUUGGUGGGGGUAACGGCUCACCAAGGCGACGAUCCGUAGCUGGUUUGAGAGGACGACCAGCCACACUGGGACUGAGACACGGCCAGACUCCUACGGGAGGCAGCAGUGGGGAAUUUUGGACAAUGGGGAAACCUAGUCCAGCCAUCCCGCGUGUGCGAUAGAGCCUUCGGGUUGUAAAGCACUUUUGGCAGGAAAAGAAACGGCACAGGAUAAUACCCCGUGCAACUGACAGCUCACCUGCAGAAUAAGCACCGGCCCCCCAACGUGCCAGCAGCCGCGGUAAUACGUAGGGUGCAAAGCGUUAAUCAGGAAUUACUGGGCGUAAAGCGCAGGCGGUUCGGAAAGAAAGAUGUUGAAAUCCCAGAGCUUAACUUUGGAACUGCAUUUUUAACUACCGGAAAGCUGAGAGUGUGUCAGAGGAGGGCAGUUCAUGAUGUAGCAGUGAAAUGCGUAGAUAUGCGGAACACCGAUGGCGAAGGCGGCCUCCUGGGAUAACACUGACGCUCAUGCACGAAAGCGUGGGAGGCAAACAGGAUUAGAUACCCUGGUAGUCCACGCCUAAAACGAUGUCAGCUAGCUGUACAGGGCGGGCCUUGGUGGCGCAGCUAACGCGCGUGAAGUUGACCGCCUGGGAGUACGGUCGCAAGAUUAAAACUCAAAGGAAUUGACGGGGACGCACAAGCGGUGGAUGAUGUGGAUUAAUUCGAUGCAACGCGAAAAACCUUACCUACCCUUGACAUGUCUGGAAUCCCGAAGAGAUUUGGGAGUGCUCGCAAGAGAACCGGAACACAGGUGCUGCAUAGCUCGUCAGCUCGUGUCAGCUGAAUGUUGGGUUAAGUCCCGCAACGAAGCUGCAACCCUUGUCAUUGGAUUUAUACGAAAGGGCACUCUAAUGAGACUGCCGGUGACAAACCGGAGGAAGGUGGGGAUGACGUCAAGUCCUCAUGGCCCAUAUGGGUAGGGCUUCACCCCGUCAUCUGGUCGGACAGAGGGUCGCCAACCCGCGAGGGGAGGCCAAUCCCAGGGAAACCCGAUCGUAGUCGGAUCGCAGUCUGCAACUCGACUGCGUGAAGUCGGAAUCCUUUAGUAAUCGCGGAUCAGCAUGUCGCGGUGAAUACGUUCCCGGGUCUUGUACACACCGCCCAUCACACCAUGGGAGUGGGUUUUGCAAGUAGUUAGCCUAACCGUAAGGAGGGCGAUUACCACGGUAGGAUUCAUGACUGGGGUAGAGUCGUAACAGGUAG